GACGAACGCUGGCGGCGUGCUUAACACAUGCAAGUCGAACGGAAAGGCCCUGCUUGCAGGGUACUCGAGUGGCGAACGGGUGAGUAACACGUGGGUGAUCUGCCCUGCACUUCGGGAUAAGCCUGGGAAACUGGGUCUAAUACCGGAUAGGAGCCAUUUUUAGUGUGAUGGUUGGAAAGUUUUUUCGGUGUAGGAUGAGCUCGCGGCCUAUCAGCUUGUUGGUGGGGUAAUGGCCUACCAAGGCGGCGACGGGUAGCCGGCCUGAGAGGGUGGACGGCCAAAUUGGGAAUGAGGUACGGCCCAGACUCCUACGGGAGGCAGCAGUGGGGAAGAUUGCACAAUGGGCGCAAGCCUGAUGCAGCGACGCCGCGGGGGGGAUGACGGCCUUCGGGUUGUAAACUCCUUUCGCUAGGGACGAAGCUUUUUGUGACGGUACCUAGAUAAGAAGCACCGGCUAACUACGUG
This 465-nucleotide ribosomal RNA is filed under the name uncultured bacterium. RNAcentral describes it as "partial 16S ribosomal RNA". It matches the Rfam family "Bacterial small subunit ribosomal RNA", at positions 28 to 507 of the family's 1533-position model. The record is from RNAcentral.